GGAUGUGAAGGCGAUCUGGCUGCGACAUCUGUCACCCCAUUGAUUGCCAGGGUUGAUUCAGCUGAUCUGGCUGGCUAGGCGGGUGUCCCCUUCCUCCCUCAUUACUCCAUGUGUGUCCCUCCCGAAGCUGUGCGCUAGGUCGAAGAGGACGACCUUCCCCAAUAGAGGAGGACUGUUCUUCGGUCAAGGGUAUACAAGUAGCUGUGCUCCCUUGCUAGAACCUCCAAACAAAUUCUCAAGGUCCAUUUGUAGGAGAGCAUAGGGUAGUCAAGCUUCCAAGACUCCAGACACAUCCAAAUGAGGUGCUGCACAUGGCAGUCUGCCUUUCUUU
RNAcentral lists this small nuclear RNA (331 nucleotides) under Panthera pardus (leopard). RNAcentral describes it as "7SK RNA (ENSPPRG00000015598.1)". It matches the Rfam family "7SK RNA". Rfam says of the family: 7SK was discovered as an abundant small nuclear RNA in the mid-70s but a possible function has only recently been suggested. Two independent studies have found that 7SK RNA binds the CDK9/cyclin T complex (known as elongation factor P-TEFb). P-TEFb activates transcription by phosphorylating the C-terminal domain of RNA polymerase II. The record is from RNAcentral. Lineage: Eukaryota; Metazoa; Chordata; Mammalia; Carnivora; Felidae.